GCCUGAGAUAUGCAAGUCGAGCGAAGUUUGCGACUCCGCAAGGAGUUGCGAAUUCAGCGGCGGACGGCUGAGUAACACGUAGGAAUCUCCCCCUGUCUGGAGGAUAGCCCACCGAAAGGUGGGGUAAUACUUCAUAGUCCCAGCUUUGCUGGGUAAAGGACGUAACUGUCCGGAGAGGGAUGAGCCUGCGUCCUAUCAGGUAGUUGGUGAGGUAAAAGCUCACCAAGCCAAUGACGGGUAGCUGGCCUGUGAGGGUGGUCAGCCAGAGGGGGACUGAGACACGGCCCCCACUCCUACGGGAGGCAGCAAUCAGGAAUAGUCGGCAAUGGGCGAAAGCCUGACCGCGCGACACCGCGUGUAGGAAGAAGCUCUAAUCGAGUGUAAACUACUGUGGUAGGGGAAGAAGCCCGCAAGGGUUGACGGUACCCUACUAGAAAGUGGCCGCUAACUGCGUGCCAGAAGCGUCGGUAAUACGUGGGCCACAAGCAUUAUCCGGUUUUAUUGGGCGUAAAGGGUCGUGUAGGCGGCAUAGCAAGUUAUCUUUUAAAUUUCACCGCCCAACGGGGAAAAUGGGGAUAAGACUGCUAAGCUAGAGUUUCCUUAAGGGAGAAUGGAACUGAGGGAGGAGUAGUGAAAUGCGUUGAUACCCUCGGGAACACCAGUGGCGAAGGCGAUUCUCUGGAAGGAAACUGACGCUGAGACACGAAAGCUAGGGGAGCGAAGCAGAUUAGAGACCUGCGUAGUCCUAGCCCUAAACGAAUGUCUGCUAGCUGCAUCUUUUCAACAGCACUGAAAGUUAUAUAACUUUUAUAAUCUUUAUAAAAUUUAUAAAGAUUAUACUUUCAGUGUUGUUGAUUAGGUGUGGCGAAGGUAACCCGUUAAGCAGACCGCCUGGGGAGUACGGUCGCAAGGCUAAAACUCAAAGGAAUUGGCGGGGAGGCACACAACCAGUGGAACAUGUGGUUCAAUUCGAUACGAAACGAGCACCUCACCAGGGCUUGACAUCCUAUGGAAAUCCCGAUGAAAGUCGGGACCUCCGCAAGGACCGUAGGACAGGUGCUGCAUGGCUGUCGUCAGUUCGUUCCGUGAGGAGUGCCCUUAAGUGGGACAACGAACGCAACCCCCAUCUUGUGUUACAUCUGUCACAAGAGACUGCCCUGCCUUUGGCGGGGAGGAAGGAGGGGCAGACGUCAAGUCAGCAUGGUCCUUAUGCCCUGGGCGACACACAUGUUACAAUGAGUAUGACAACGGGCUUUGCCAGCGCGUAAGCGUGAGCCAAUCCCUGAAACAUACUCUCAGUAGGGAUUGAGGUCUGAAACCCGACCUCAUGAACGCGGAAUUGGUAGUAAUCGCGGAUCAGUACGCCGCGGUGAUACGUUCUUGCCUCUUGCACAC
This 1395-nucleotide ribosomal RNA is filed under the name uncultured bacterium. Its description in RNAcentral is "bacterial SSU rRNA". It matches the Rfam family "Bacterial small subunit ribosomal RNA", at positions 46 to 1388 of the family's 1533-position model. The record is from RNAcentral.